GGCUCAGCAGUUAAGAGCACUGGAUGCUCUUCCAGAGGACCUGGGUUCAAUUCCCAG
RNAcentral lists this transfer RNA (57 nucleotides) under Cricetulus griseus (Chinese hamster). It matches the Rfam family "tRNA", at positions 9 to 63 of the family's 71-position model. Rfam says of the family: Transfer RNA (tRNA) molecules are approximately 80 nucleotides in length. The record is from Rfam by way of RNAcentral. Lineage: Eukaryota; Metazoa; Chordata; Mammalia; Rodentia; Cricetidae.